GAAAUGCGAUAAGUAAUGUGAAUUGCAGAAUUCAGUGAAUCAUCGAAUCUUUGAACGCACCUUGCGCUCCUUGGUAUUCCGAGGAGCAUGCCUGUUUGAGUGUCAUUAAAUUCUCAACCUCACCAGUUUUGUUAUGAAGCUGUGUGCAGGCUUGGAUGUGGGGGCUUGCAGGUCCACUGUCGUGGUCUGCUCCCCUGAAAUGCAUUAGUGGGUUUGGCCCCUAAUCUAUUGGUGUGAUAAUUAUCUACGCCGUGGAUUGGAUGGCUGUUAUUGACCUGCUUCUAACCGUCCCUUGCUGGACAAUCAUUGACAUUUUUGACCUCAAAUCAGGUAAGACUACCCGCUGAACUUAA
This 353-nucleotide unclassified non-coding RNA is filed under the name uncultured Psathyrellaceae. RNAcentral's name for it is "sequence contains ITS1". The stretch from base 1 to 105 matches the Rfam family "5.8S ribosomal RNA", at positions 50 to 154 of the family's 154-position model. The record is from RNAcentral. Lineage: Eukaryota; Fungi; Basidiomycota; Agaricomycetes; Agaricales; Psathyrellaceae.